GUGCCAGCAGCCGCGGUAAGACAGAGGGUGCAAACGUUGUUCGGAAUUACUGGGCGUAAAGCGCGUGUAGGCUGCUCUGCAAGUCGGAUGUGAAAGCCCUGGGCUCAACCUAGGAAGUGCACUCGAAACUGCAGAGCUUGAGUCUCGGAGAGGGUCGCGGAAUUCUCGGUGUAGAGGUGAAAUUCGUAGAUAUCGAGAGGAACACCGGUGGCGAAGGCGGCGACCUGGACGAUGACUGACGCUGAGACGCGAAAGCGUGGGGAGCAAACAGGAUUAGAUACCCGGGUAGUCC
This 292-nucleotide ribosomal RNA is filed under the name uncultured bacterium. Its description in RNAcentral is "partial 16S ribosomal RNA". It matches the Rfam family "Bacterial small subunit ribosomal RNA", at positions 505 to 796 of the family's 1533-position model. The record is from RNAcentral.